Molecule: ribosomal RNA, 600 nt
Filed under: uncultured fungus
Lineage: Eukaryota; Fungi
Description: eukaryotic LSU rRNA
Rfam family: Eukaryotic large subunit ribosomal RNA
Source: RNAcentral
CAAGGAUUCCCCUAGUAACUGCGAGUGAAGCGGGAAAAGCUCAAAUUUAAANUCUGNCAGUUCUUGCAGCUGUCCGAGUUGUAAUUUAGAGAAGUGCUAUCCGCGCUGGACCGUAUACAANUCUCCUGGAAUGGAGCGUCAUAGAGGGUGAGAAUCCCGUCUNUGAUACGGACUGCCAGGGCUUUGUGAUGCGCUCUCGAAGAGUCGAGUUGUUUGGGAAUGCAGCUCAAAAUGGGUGGUAAAUUCCAUCUAAAGCUAAAUAUUGGCGAGAGACCGAUAGCGAACAAGUACCGUGAGGGAAAGAUGAAAAGAACUUUGGAAAGAGAGUUAAACAGUACGUGAAAUUGUUAAAAGGGAAACGCUUGAAGUCAGUCGCGUUGGCUGGGGAUCAUCCUUGCUUUUGCUUGGUGUACUUCCUAGUCGAUGGGUCAACAUCAGUUUUGAUUGUUGGAUAAAGUUCAAGGGAAUGUGGCAUCUUUAGAUGUGUUAUAGCCUUUGUUCGUAUACAGCAGUUGGGACUGAGGAACUCAGCACGCCGCAAGGCCGGGUAUUUAUACCACGUACGUGCUUAGGAUGUUGGCAUAAUGGCUUUAAUCGACC